GCAUUAAUGGGGUAGAAUUAUUGGUAACCUGGGUCGUUGCCAUCGACCCGCCCGGGGUUCGAUUCCCCCGUAAUGCA
Molecule: non-coding RNA, 77 nt
Organism: Lentinus tigrinus ALCF2SS1-7
Lineage: Eukaryota; Fungi; Basidiomycota; Agaricomycetes; Polyporales; Polyporaceae
Source: the annotation of a GenBank genome assembly